CACGUAGGGGGCGAGCGUUGUCCGGAUUUAUUGGACGUAAAGAGCUCGUAGGCGGCUCAGUAAGUCGGGUGUGAAAACUCCAGGCUCAACCUGGAGACGCCACCCGAUACUGCUGUGGCUAGAGUCCGGUAGGGGAGCAUGGAAUUCCUGGUGUAGCGGUGAAAUGCGCAGAUAUCAGGAGGAACACCAGUGGCGAAGGCGGUGCUCUGGGCCGGAACUGACGCUGAGGAGCGAAAGCGUGGGGAGCAAACAGG
This 254-nucleotide ribosomal RNA is filed under the name uncultured bacterium. RNAcentral describes it as "partial 16S ribosomal RNA". It matches the Rfam family "Bacterial small subunit ribosomal RNA", at positions 524 to 776 of the family's 1533-position model. The record is from RNAcentral.